This is a long non-coding RNA of Bos indicus x Bos taurus (hybrid cattle), 414 nucleotides long. The record is from Ensembl. NCBI's taxonomy places the organism in Eukaryota, Metazoa, Chordata, Mammalia, Artiodactyla, Bovidae.
CUUUACCACCAGACCAUGAGGAAAGUCCUAAAUAUAUUCAUGUAUACAAAAUCUCAUGAUUUAACAGAAGGAUUGGGUCCAAUAUCUGAAGCGUUCUGCUUUAGAGUUUUCUAAAUUUUAGUUAUCCUUCAGAUUUUAACUACAGUCAUGAGCCACCUAUACUAUGACUUAUAUAAUGAUAUUUUCUUUAAGUCGAGUAACGCAUUUAUAUGUUGCUAUUGCUCCUCACAACCUCAGGUAUUUAUUCAUUGUGGAAGCUCAGAUGAUGGACCCAGAUGUAACCUCAGGAUCCUCUUUAUUACAGCGUCUCAAGGACCCCUCUUUCCAAGUUCCCUUCUCAAUACAGCCAAGAGGCUAGAUCUCAUCAAUAAAAUCCUGGACAGACAUGAGAGAACUGAAGAUGACACACCCUGA